UGGGAACUCAACAUCAGAUUAAAACUAAGUAUUUAUUCCAUGAUACAGAUAGAUAUGCAUAUUCUUAGACAAGCUUUUGGAUCAGUUGCCAUUGGUCUCUUGAUCAUGCCAGACGUCAGAUAUUGGACUUGAUUUUGAUUUUUUUACACAAAUCUACAUCUGAAUUAAAGAUGACAAAAUAAUUCUGUUUAUCAUUGAAACUAUUAAUUUGUGGCUUACAGGCAGAAGAUUCUUGAGUAUAGAGAAGCUAGAUCACUCAUGGAAGGACCGACAGUCAAAUGAGCUCUCACAGAGAUGAACAGAUUCCUAUGACUUCUUAUGCUCUCCUGUUGGUUACUGUCAAGUUCAAGUGUCUCUUCUAUGAUGCAGUUUCAUCAAAGAACAGAAAAAAUAGCCAUGGAGACUUUCAGCGCUUCCUCCACUUCCCUUAAGAUUCAAAACCCAAGAUCAACCUGACUCUGUAGAUUAUAUCCUACAUUAAAAUGAUUUUAGAAUUUUAGAAUAUAUAAUGAUUUACUCUGCCACAGGUUUUAUAGUGAGUUUGCAAGGCCUCAGGCCUGAGGCUUGUUAGGCUUUCUCUGUCCGAGCUUUUCUUUACCUACCUGCAGGUUUGUUUUACUUGGUUUAGCUGUAACAGUAAUUCUUCUAACUGACCAGGUGGCUAUAGCUAACUUUGCCUUUGUUUCUCUAUGCAUGGUACCACCAGGGUUUUCCAGCUCUUCACAUACCAGCGUAGGGAGUGGAGCAGAAAAACAAAGGUCUUGUGCCAUUGCAGAGGCC
RNAcentral lists this long non-coding RNA (780 nucleotides) under Anser brachyrhynchus (Pink-footed goose). RNAcentral describes it as "lncRNA (ENSABRG00000009870.1)". The record is from RNAcentral. Lineage: Eukaryota; Metazoa; Chordata; Aves; Anseriformes; Anatidae.